This 492-nucleotide ribosomal RNA is filed under the name uncultured bacterium. RNAcentral describes it as "partial 16S ribosomal RNA". It matches the Rfam family "Bacterial small subunit ribosomal RNA", at positions 29 to 507 of the family's 1533-position model. The record is from RNAcentral.
AGUGAACGCUGGCGGUAGGCCUAACACAUGCAAGUCGAACGGCAGCACAGUAAGAGCUUGCUCUUACGGGUGGCGAGUGGCGGACGGGUGAGGAAUACAUCGGAAUCUACUUUUUCGUGGGGGAUAACGUAGGGAAACUUACGCUAAUACCGCAUACGACCUACGGGUGAAAGCAGGGGAUCUUCGGACCUUGCGCGAUUGAAUGAGCCGAUGUCGGAUUAGCUAGUUGGCGGGGUAAAGGCCCACCAAGGCGACGAUCCGUAGCUGGUCUGAGAGGAUGAUCAGCCACACUGGAACUGAGACACGGUCCAGACUCCUACGGGAGUCAGCAGUGGGGAAUAUUGGACACAGGGCGCAAGCCUGAUCCAGCCAUACCGCGUGGGUGAAGAAGGCCUUCGGGUUGUAAAGCCCUUUUGUUGGGAAAGAAAAGCAGCAGGUUAAUACCCCGCUGUUCUGACGGUACCCAAAGAAUAAGCACCGGCUAACUUCGUG